RNAcentral lists this ribosomal RNA (1488 nucleotides) under uncultured prokaryote. RNAcentral describes it as "partial 16S ribosomal RNA". It matches the Rfam family "Bacterial small subunit ribosomal RNA". The record is from RNAcentral.
GAUCAUGGCUCAGAUUGAACGCUGGCGGUAGGCUUAACACAUGCAAGUCGAGCGGAAACGAAGGUAGCUUGCUACCAGGCGUCGAGCGGCGGACGGGGGAGUAACGCGUGGGAAUUUGCCCAGUAGUGGGGGGGACAACAUGUGGAAACGCAUGCUAAUACCGCAUACGCCCUAAGGGGGAAAGCAGGGGAUCUUCGGACCUUGCGCUAUUGGAGAAGCCUGCGUCGGAUUAGCUAGUUGGUGGGGUAAAGGCCCACCAAGGCGACGAUCCGUAGCUGGUCUGAGAGGAUGAUCAGCCACACUGGGACUGAGACACGGCCCAGACUCCUACGGGAGGCAGCAGUGGGGAAUAUUGGACAAUGGGCGAAAGCCUGAUCCAGCCAUGCCGCGUGUGUGAAAAGGCCUUAGGGUUGUAAAGCACUUUCAGUAGGGAGGAAAAGUUAGUCGUUAAUAACGGCUAACCCUGACGUUACCUACAGAAGAAGCACCGGCAAACUCCGUGCCAGCAGCCGCGGUAAUACGGAGGGUGCGAGCGUUAAUCGGAAUUACUGGGCGUAAAGCGCGCGUAGGCGGCCUGAUAAGUUGGAUGUGAAAGCCCUGGGCUCAACCUAGGAACUGCAUCCCAAACUGGCAAACUAGAGUGCGGAAGAGGAGUGUGGAAUUUCCUGUGUAGCGGUGAAAUGCGUAGAUAUCGGAAGGAACCUCAGUGGCGAAGGCGGCCCCCUGGCCAAAGACUGACGCUCAGGUACGAAAGCGUGGGUAGCAAACAGGAUGAGAUACCCUGGUAGUCCACGCCGUAAACGAUGUCUACUCGGAAUUUGGUGUCUUGAACACUGGGUUUUCGGAGCUAACGCGUUAAGUAGACCGCCUGGGGAGUACGGUCGCAAGAUUAAAACUCAAAUGAAUUGACGGGGGCCCGCACAAGCGGUGGAGCAUGUGGUUUAAUUCGAUGCAACGCGAAGAACCUUACCUACUCUUGACAUCCAGAGAAUUCGCUAGAGAUAGCUUAGUGCCUUCGGGAACUCUGAGACAGGUGCUGCAUGGCUGUCGUCAGCUCGUGUUGUGAAAUGUUGGGUUAAGUCCCGCAACGAGCGCAACCCCUAUCCUUGAUUGCCAGCGAGUAAUGUCGGGAACUUUGAGGAGACUGCCGGUGAUAAACCGGAGGAAGGUGGGGACGACGUCAAGUCAUCAUGGCCCUUACGAGUAGGGCUACACACGUGCUACAAUGGUCGGUACAGAGGGUUGCCAAGCCGCGAGGUGGAGCUAAUCCCACAAAGUGUCUCGUAGUCCGGAUCGGAGUCUGCAACUCGACUCCGUGAAGUUGGAAUCGCUAGUAAUUGUGGAUCAGAAUGCCACGGUGAAUACGUUCCCGGGCCUUGUACACACCGCCCGUCACACCAUGGGAGUGGGCUGCAAAAGAAGUGGGUUCGCUUAACCUUCGGGAGGGCGCUCACCACUUUGUGGUUCAUAACUGGGGUUGAAUCAGGA